Molecule: ribosomal RNA, 419 nt
Filed under: bacterium
Lineage: Bacteria
Description: partial 16S ribosomal RNA
Rfam family: Bacterial small subunit ribosomal RNA
Source: RNAcentral
UGGGGGAUAUUGCACAAUGGGCGAAAGCCUGAUGCAGCGACGCCGCGUGGGGGAUGAAGGCCUUCGGGUUGUAAACUUCUUUUGCUCUGAACAAGGCAUGCUAAUGGGUGUGUUGAGUGUAGGGGUUGAUUAGCGCCGGCUAACUACGUGCCAGCAGCCGCGGUAAUACGUAGGGCGCGAGCGUUGUCCGGAAUUAUUGGGCGUAAAGGGCUUGUAGGUGGCUGGUUGCGUCUGUCGUGAAAGCUCAUGGCUUAACUGUGGGUUUGCGGUGGGUACGGGCUGGCUUGAGUGCAGUAGGGGAGGCUGGAAUUCCUGGUGUAGCGGUGGAAUGCGCAGAUAUCAGGAGGAAUGCCGGUGGCGAAGGCGGGUCUCUGGGCUGUUACUGACACUGAGGAGCGAAAGCAUGGGGAGCGAACAGG